RNAcentral lists this unclassified non-coding RNA (20 nucleotides) under Mus musculus (house mouse). RNAcentral's name for it is "oocyte_clustered_small_RNA75". The record is from RNAcentral. Lineage: Eukaryota; Metazoa; Chordata; Mammalia; Rodentia; Muridae.
UGUCAGGCUGGCAGAAGUGA